Molecule: ribosomal RNA, 379 nt
Filed under: uncultured eukaryote
Lineage: Eukaryota
Description: partial 18S ribosomal RNA
Rfam family: Eukaryotic small subunit ribosomal RNA
Source: RNAcentral
CAAUAGCGUAUAUUAAAGUUGUUGCGGUUAAAAAGUUCGUAGUUGGAUUUCUGCCAAGGACGACCGGUCCGCCCUCUGGGUGAGUAUCUGGCUUGGCCUGGGCAUCUUCUUGGAGAACGUUGCUGCGCUUCACUGCGUGGUGCGGUAUCCAGGACUUUUACUUUGAGGAAAUUAGAGUGUUUCAAGCAGGCUUCCGCCUUGAAUACAUUAGCAUGGAAUAAUAAGAUAGGACCUCGGUUCUAUUUUGUUGGUUUCUAGAGCUGGGGUAAUGAUUAAUAGGGAUAGUUGGGGGCAUUCGUAUUUAACUGUCAGAGGUGAAAUUCUUGGAUUUGUUAAAGACGGACUACUGCGAANGNAUUUGCNAAGGAUGUUUNCAUUG